UGGGGAAUAUUGGACAAUGGGCGCAAGCCUGAUCCAGCCAUGCCGCGUGUGUGAAGAAGGCCUUAUGGUUGUAAAGCACUUUAAGCGAGGAGGAGGCUACUUUAGUUAAUACCUAGAGAUAGUGGACGUUACUCGCAGAAUAAGCACCGGCUAACUCUGUGCCAGCAGCCGCGGUAAUACAGAGGGUGCAAGCGUUAAUCGGAUUUACUGGGCGUAAAGCGCGCGUAGGUGGUUCGUUAAGUUGAAUGUGAAAGCCCCGGGCUCAACCUGGGAACUGCAUCCAAAACUGGCGGGCUAGAGUAGGGCAGAGGGUGGUGGAAUUUCCUGUGUAGCGGUGAAAUGCGUAGAUAUAGGAAGGAACACCAGUGGCGAAGGCGACCACCUGGGCUCAUACUGACACUGAGGUGCGAAAGCGUGGGGAGCAAACAGG
This 430-nucleotide ribosomal RNA is filed under the name Pseudomonadota bacterium. Its description in RNAcentral is "Proteobacteria bacterium partial 16S ribosomal RNA". It matches the Rfam family "Bacterial small subunit ribosomal RNA", at positions 355 to 776 of the family's 1533-position model. The record is from RNAcentral. Lineage: Bacteria; Pseudomonadati; Pseudomonadota.